Long non-coding RNA from Oncorhynchus nerka (sockeye salmon), 5828 nucleotides. RefSeq lists it as uncharacterized. The record is from RefSeq and is a predicted model, not a curated record. NCBI's taxonomy places the organism in Eukaryota, Metazoa, Chordata, Actinopteri, Salmoniformes, Salmonidae. The transcript has 2 exons.
CAGUUUGGUUAUUAGUUAUAAGUCUUUUUAUUAGUUAUAGAUCUGUUGAUAGCCUAUGUUAAAACAAGGACAAAUAAUGUUUUUUCAGACUACCCGGAGACAGAUCCAGCAGAAUCGGGAAAGCUAGAGGGAAAAAGUCACACACCCCCGGUUUCGGCGAUUCGUCACAACAAGCGCCAAAAAAGCCGAGACUCCGGCGAAAAACGGCACAGACGACCACAUAAAUCUAGAGCUGGGGGAUUCCGGCGCCCCGAGCAUUCCGAAUGAAACACCCGAGAGACCUGUUUUUAAUGACAUGUCAGAUGUUGAUGACCAGCUAUUCUGUGAUGCGGCCAACCUUAUAGACCCAGUCAAUUCUACGGCCUCAAUACCUGCAGACGAACAAGAAAGGUUUUUCACAUUAUUUUCCAGGGCUUUGAAAUCGAGGAAUGUUUUGCUAUACAAACGACUGGGGGAUUUAAUUGAGAGACAGUACAGAGACGAUAUGUUAUUCUGGCAUAGAACAAUUCCACGCAUGUUAAACAGCAACCCCAUUAAAAAACGCAAAUACAGACGCUAAAAUCAUACAUGUAACACCAACCAUUACAGAAAGAAAAAAAAACGAACACUCUUAAUUAUCCAAAAAUGGCAGAACUAACGCAACACGGGGAGACAGUUGAAAGCCUCUUAUCCCAGAUUCCAGCCGAACUCCUAGAAGUUAUUAAACAUAUGAACGAGUCAGGAACGUUAGAUGAAAGCAUAUUAACACAGAUUCCAGCCGAACUCUUAGAAAUGAUUAAUCGUAUGAACGAGUCAGGGGCGCCUGAGGAAAACAUGUUAUCCCAGAUUCCCGAAGCCCUCAUAACCUUAAUUAAUCGGAUGAACGAGAGUCAGACAAUUUCAGCCCGACAACCCCAACAGCGAUAGAACAACCCGUAACGCCUAGGUCCGUAGAGUCUGAAACGCCACAAGAUGUUUUUGGGGAAUUGGACAAUUGUCUAAUAAAUCUGGCGGCAGAUGUUCAUGAUAGACGUGUCAGGGUUGUGUACAGGAAUAAAUUCAACAAUACAGAGAUUCGACAGUUUUUCAAUCUCCUAUGUGUGAAUCAGAAUCUUGACUAUGCUGUAUUUUACAUGAUGAUAAUGGACACUCUGAAUGACCUGUUAGAAACCGCAAGAGAUUAUGGCGAACCUCGUGAUGUCUUACAGUUGGAAAUAUGUGGAGAUAGCCUGCAUAAUACAGUAUCUCUUAUUUUACCCAAUGGCGAAGCAGAUCUUGAACAAUUUACAGCGCUGGUAGAACGCCUUGUUCAGUCAAAUUUAGCCAUCAUAGCCGAUCAGACCCUCGAGCUUGUAGUGCAAAUAAUAGGUCAACAGCAGGGGGGUGGUGGGCAGAGAAGGAAGCUUGAUAGCCUAAUGCAGUCAGAAAUCAUAAGCAAUAAAAGGGCCUACCUCAUAAACGUUCACAAUCCCGAUAAUAAGCUAUGUUUUGCAAUUGGCCUAGAGCAUUUACUUAACCCCGGAUGUACUGAUCUGACGGCAUUGCAAAAGGCUAGAGAGAUCCAAACGGCGGUGGGUCUCGGGACCCAUGAAGGCGUGGCAUUCUCAGACAUUGUCAAAUUUGAAAACCUUCUGAAUAUCAAGAUUGUGGUUUUGUACCACAGUAGAGCUAAUGCCGCUCUCUUGAAGUUCCAAAACACCCCCCAACCGCACCCUCAGAUUCUGUACUUUUAUGUGCAAAACGAACAUUACUAUGCUGUUACAAACAUCACGGCGUUCCUAGGGGCACCCUAUGUGUGUAGAUCCUGCCAUACCGGCUACACCCGAAAGGGGGGGCACUCGUGCCGUUAUAACUGUUCUGUAUGUCAGGAUGCACAGUGCCCUAUGCAAACCUUAAACUUGACACCAUGUGCGGAUUGCCAUCGCACAUGUCGUUCGACCUACUGUUACGAUAAACACAAAAUUGAAACAUGGCACCCUAAGGCCUGUAAAUCUGUAAGCAUUUGUGCCAUUAACAAGAAAUGCCCAAAAUGUCAUUGCAAUUACAGCCUUAAAAUAGAUAGCCCUAAACCACAUGUUUGUGGAAUCCUACAGUGUCCAAUCUGUAAAGCGGCUCUGAAAAGCAGAAAUGCUGAAGUGGUUCAAGAAGUGCAACACGAGUGUUAUAUUCAGCCCUUGGCUGAAGAUGAACAUUCAGAGAAAUAUGUGUUCUAUGAUUUUGAGACAAAUCAGCAAUCGGGGGAUCAUUUGCCUAUUUUUGUAUCUACCAUGACAUUCACGGGGGAAAAGUGGUCUGCAGAAGGAUCCAAUUGUGCACUACUCUUUCUAAAACAUUUUAGAAAACCACAGUACCGAAACUUUAUGUUUAUAGGGCACAAUGCUAGAGCCUACGACUCUUACCUUCUUCUGAACCCCUUGAUACAGCAAGGCGUAGCCCCCAGGGUCAUAGCGCAAGGGAGUAAAAUCCUGUGUUUUGUAGAUCCCGCCUUCAACCAGAGAUACAUUGACAGUUUAAGCUUCUUACCCAUGAGAUUGGCUCAAAUGCCAGAGGCCUUGGGUUUUGAAAACUCUGUGAAAGGCUGGUUCCCCCACUUCUUCACAUCUGAGGAGAAUCUACACUAUAUAGGAUCAUAUCCCAGCCCAAAAAUGUACGGGUGUGAUCAAAUGUCUCCCAAAGAGCGAGAGAGAUUCAUGACUUGGUAUGAGACAGUAAGACAUGGCACCUUUGAUUUCCAUAAAGAGAUGGAAUCAUACUGUGACAAUGAUGUGGUUAUACUUCGUGAAGGAUGCCUCAGAUUCAGAGAAGAGGUAAUCAAAGAUGCCGGUAUUGACCCUUGGAGUUGUACAACGAUUGCAUCGGCAUGCAUGAAAACAUACCGUACACACUAUCUGCCUACAUCCUCUAUAGCUAUCCCCUCGCCUGACAACUACCGACGGCAGUUCAAGGAAUACUCUAGUGGGUCCAUUCAAUGGCUAGAGUAUAUGGCCCAGGAUAAAGACAUUUUUAUUCAACAUGCUUUGAAUCGAGGGGAGAAGGCAUUUGGCUCUUACCAUGUAGAUGGCUACACCCAGAUUGACGGGGUUGAGACCGUGUAUGAGUACAACGGUUGUUUCUUCCAUGGUUGCAAAUCUUGCUUUGUGCCCCAGAACAUGUGUGUCCUAACCCAAAAGACUUUUGGGGAAAUGUACCAAGAGUUUCAAGACAAAGUUGAUUCGUUACAGGCUACUUACGGUCUAAAAGUGGUUGUUUUGUGGGAGCACGAAUGGACAGCCCUCAAAAAGUCUGAUCCUCAUGUUCAAGCAUUCCUUUCCAGCUUUGACACCCCAGAACCUCUGGAGCCAAGACAGGCCUUGUAUGGCGGCCGUACCAAUGCUUUGACAUUGAGGUAUGUAGCGCAACCCGACGAGACAAUAGGCUAUGUGGAUUUUACAUCCCUUUAUCCGCAUGUAAUGAGUUCCUCAUGCUAUCCUAUAGGUCAUCCUGAAAUUAUUCAUCGUGAUUUUGACUUACCUCAAAACUAUUUUGGUCUGAUCAAAGCAACAGUCUACCCUCCAAGGGGUUUGUUUAUACCUGUGUUGCAUUACAGGGGCCCUCAAGGAAAACUUUUCUUUCCCCUUUGUCGCACCUGCAGUGAAAACAUACAACAAACCCCAUGUGAUCACACCGAUCAAGAAAGAGCACUGACAGGUGUAUGGGUCACAGCUGAAUUCUCUAAGGCUUUAGAGAUGGGGUAUCGUGUGGUCAAAAUCUUUGAAGUAUGGAACUUUUCAAAGAAAUCAGACACUCUUUUUAAAGAAUACAUCAAGACCUUCUUGAGAUGUAAGCAAAUGGCUUCAGGCUAUCCUGCAUCGGUCACAGAUCAAGAAAGUAAAGACAGGUACAUUCAAGACUAUCAUGACAGAGAAGGCAUCCUUCUUGACCCUGACAGAAUAGAGGUCAACAAAACCAAACGAAAUGUGUCAAAAUUGUACCUAAAUUCGCUUUGGGGCAAAUUAGCACAGAGAAAUUUCAUAUUUUUCAUUCUUGAGUCAAGACAUUGCCUUGGUUCAAUGGCGACGUAACAAGAAGUGGGUUCUACCCCCGUGUAAUGUAAAUGUGUUUCUUGCAGCAUUUACCACGGCCUAUGGCCGACUUGAACUGUACAAGCUCAUGGAGCAGCUUCAGAGGCGGGUACUUUACCACGACACAGACUCUGUGGUCUAUGUAAGCAUACCGGGGGAUUGGAGUCCCCACUCAGCAACUACCUGGGUGGCUUAACGAGUGAACUCGCAGAGGGUGACCAUAUCACAGAAUGGUCAUCAUGUGGGCCCAAAAGCUAUGCUUUUAGAACGCUAAAGAAUCACGUGGUAUUGAAAGCCAAAGGAGUGACUCAAAACUAUGAAAAUGCCCAGCGUGUAAACUUGGAAUCAAUCACACGCUUGGUCGAGGGGUUCCUAAAUGACAGGAAUAGUGACUUGGAGAUUUUGAGCUCCUACAAAAAGAUUGUUAGGGAUAAAAAGGGCUUCCAUCUGAGGAAUGCCCCACUCAUUAAAAGAUUCAGGGUUGUCUAUGACAAGAGAGUGCUUUUGCCUGACGGGACCACAUUGCCCUAUGGCUACUGACUUAUGCUACAGUCCGCAGUGUGUCAGGCGUGACUCAAAAAAACUAUGAAAAAAAUACCCCUCGUGUAAAAAACUAGGAAUCAAUCACACGCGUGUUUGAGGGAGGUUCCUAAAUGACAGGAAUAGUGACUUUGAGAUUUAGGAGCUCCUACAAAAAAGAUUGUUGGUUAUAAUAAAGGGCUUCCCUCUGAGGAAUGCCCCACUUACUAAAAGAUUCAGGGUUGUCUAUGACAAGAGACUGCUUUUGCCUGACUGGACCACAUUGCCCCUUUGGCUACUGACUUAUGCUACAAGCUACAGGGUGUCUUAAAGCUUAAGAUAUAAUGACUGCUGUAGAAGGUUUUGACCCCCGGUUGCAACUACCAUUUUCGGCCUUAAUCGCAGGGGCUUCGAAUAGUGGUAAAACUUGUUUUGUAAAAUGUAUUUUUUAAGUAGACUUAAAAAAACAAGUGCAGGGGCCCCCGAAAAUAUCAGACAAACAGCGGAAAAUGAUUUGGAUACGGCCAUGAAGGAUAUUUUGAAUCAAGAAGGCUUGAACCCCUAUGAUAAGGUCCAAAAAUACACAAACCUCUUGCAAAUGUAUUUGUCCUUGGUGAAACAAGGGGAGAGAGAGACAGGCCAUUUAACUAUUUCCCUACAGGACCCUUUGAAAGAUGACGAGCCCAGCGAGAGCCACGCCCCUGUAAUGCCUGUACCUGCGAGCUUACCGUCUGAAGAUCAAAUGCCUGUUGAAGAUAAAGUUAUGCAUGACUUGUUAACCCAUGUUCCGGCACGUAACAGGAAAAAUGUUAGCUACAUUAUGAACAAGCUAAAAGACUCAAAUGGGGCAGCUACUUGGAACGACAAAGGAGAGUUUAUCCUUCAGGGUGCGGUUGUCAAGGGUUCACAUAUACUUGACUUGCUUAAAAGUACCACAUCUGCCCACAAGGUUGCUGAUGACCGAAGACCUCCAGGGUGGCUUCAGUUUCUUAAGGCCCUGGCCAUCCUCAACAUACCCCUCUCGGGUGUACCCAACUAUAAGAUUCGGCAACAGAUUCACUCUUUAAAACACAAACCUUCAACGAGAUACAGCACCCCUAAAGAUGCCCCAAAACCCUCGCAUCCUUAUGAAAUGAAUGACGAUAACCCAUUUACCCCCAUGAACGCCUCCGGACCUUUCCCUAAUCCCGAUCUCUCUGGGUGGUUAGACUUUUGAAUGACUUUUGAAUGACUAUGAUUAAAUUCAAUAAAUUUUAUUUGAAAAAAUAA